GAUGAACGCUGGCGGUAUGCCUAACACAUGCAAGUCGUACGAGAGUUUUUAACUCUAGUGGCGGACGGGUGAGUAACACGUGAGAAUUUGCCUUUAGGAGGGGGACAACAAUCGGAAACGAAUGCUAAUACCCCAUAUGCUUUCGAGUGAAAUGGAUUUUAUCCGCCUAGAGAGAAGCUCGCGGCUGAUUAGCUUGUUGGUAAGGUAAGAGCUUACCAAGGCGACGAUCAGUAUCUGGUUUGAGAGGAUGAUCAGACACACUGGAACUGAGACACGGUCCAGACUCCUACGGGAGGCAGCAGUGGGGAAUUUUCCGCAAUGGGCGAAAGCCUGACGGAGCAAUACCGCGUGAGGGAAGAAAGCCUACUGGGUUGUAAACCUCUUUUUUCAGGGAGGAAAAAAAUGACGUGUACCUGAAGAAUAAGCAUCGGCUAACUCCGUGCCAGCAGCCGCGGUAAUGUGACUACUG
RNAcentral lists this ribosomal RNA (469 nucleotides) under uncultured bacterium. Its description in RNAcentral is "bacterial SSU rRNA". It matches the Rfam family "Bacterial small subunit ribosomal RNA", at positions 28 to 534 of the family's 1533-position model. The record is from RNAcentral.